This 468-nucleotide ribosomal RNA is filed under the name uncultured bacterium. RNAcentral's name for it is "partial 16S ribosomal RNA". It matches the Rfam family "Bacterial small subunit ribosomal RNA", at positions 28 to 507 of the family's 1533-position model. The record is from RNAcentral.
GAUGAACGCUGGCGGCGUGCUUAACACAUGCAAGUCGAACGGAAAGGCCAGUGCUUGCACUGGUACUCGAGUGGCGAACGGGUGAGUAACACGUGGGUGAUCUGCCCUGCACUUCGGGAUAAGCCUGGGAAACUGGGUCUAAUACCGGAUAGGACAAUGGUUUGGAUGCCGUUGUGGAAAGUUUUUUCGGUGUGGGAUGAGCUCGCGGCCUAUCAGCUUGUUGGUGGGGUAAUGGCCUACCAAGGCGUCGACGGGUAGCCGGCCUGAGAGGGUGUACGGCCACAUUGGGGCUGAGAUACGGCCCAGACUCCUACAGGGGGCAGCAGUGGGGAAUAUUGCACAAUGGGCGCAAGCCUGAGGCAGCGACGCGGCGUGGGGGAUGACGGCCUUCGGGUUGUAAACUCCUUUCGCUAGGGACGAAGCGUAUUUGUGACGGUACCUGGAGAAGAAGCACCGGCUAACUACGUG